GAUGAACGCUGGCGGCGUGCCUAAUACAUGCAAGUCGAGCGAACGGACGAGAAGCUUGCUUCUCUGAUGUUAGCGGCGGACGGGUGAGUAACACGUGGAUAACCUACCUAUAAGACUGGGAUAACUUCGGGAAACCGGAGCUAAUACCGGAUAAUAUUUUGAACCGCAUGGUUCAAAAGUGAAAGACGGUCUUGCUGUCACUUAUAGAUGGAUCCGCGCUGCAUUAGCUAGUUGGUAAGGUAACGGCUUACCAAGGCAACGAUGCAUAGCCGACCUGAGAGGGUGAUCGGCCACACUGGAACUGAGACACGGUCCAGACUCCUACGGGAGGCAGCAGUAGGGAAUCUUCCGCAAUGGGCGAAAGCCUGUCGGAGCAACGCCGCGUGAGUGAUGAAGGUCUUCGGAUCGUAAAACUCUGUUAUUAGGGAAGAACAUAUGUGUAAGUAACUGUGCACAUCUUGACGGUACAUAAUCAGAAAGCCACGGCUAACUACGUG
Molecule: ribosomal RNA, 497 nt
Filed under: uncultured bacterium
Lineage: Bacteria
Description: partial 16S ribosomal RNA
Rfam family: Bacterial small subunit ribosomal RNA
Source: RNAcentral